Molecule: long non-coding RNA, 1044 nt
Filed under: Callithrix jacchus (white-tufted-ear marmoset)
Lineage: Eukaryota; Metazoa; Chordata; Mammalia; Primates; Cebidae
Description: lncRNA (ENSCJAG00000065984.2)
Source: RNAcentral
AGUUAUGGAACUGUAGUUAGUAUUAAAUAGAAACUGAUUUUUUAAGUAUGUAAUUUUGCUGUGAUACAACACAAUGGGUUUAUAUAUAAGCCUCAGAUGACCUCACUUGUUUAUGAAAAUGAUGUAGCAUCCCAUAAUAUCUUUCUAAUGAAAUACUUUCAGCUGAACUUAUCAGAUGCACUUUAAAAGCAUGUAUGUAUAGUCCAUAUAGUCAGUAAACUCAAAACUUAUUCCUAUGAUACAUAAAAUAAAACAUAUUUCAGAUUAUGGGGCUUAAACUUCUUACGGUGAAAUUUGAGUAUUGUAAAAAGUGCACACACUUCUGAUAGGAAAAUUUGUCUUUAUUUCUCCCUUUGACCUAACUUUCAAAAUAUGUAGCUAUACUUGAAGUGUAAAGGUUACGCUUAUUCCAGGGUUCUUACAUUCAGGAAAUUUAUAAAGUUUUAAAAGCACUAGAUAUUGGCAGGAUUAUGUCACCAUAGCAACCCGUAUCCAUGAAUAGACUCUAAAUAUCUAACCCAAAAGACAAUGAUUAGGUCACUGCUAUGAGAUGCAAAACAAAGCCAAAAUUAUUGAUACAGAAUUCCAGAAAGUAGGCGUUGGUUAUAGAUACAUAUUUUAUCCUUCUUAUUAAGAACUUGAAUUGCUUCAAUCAAUUAAAUCAAAUGAUUUGUUAAUCAUUUUAACAAACGCUUACUAAUAUUGUUUGGCUAUGUCCCCACCCAAACCUAAUCUUGAAUUGUAAUUUCCAUAAUCCACAUGUGUGGUGGCAAGGACCUGGUGGGAGGAAUUGAAUCAUAGGGAUGGUUUCCCCCAUGCUUUCUCAUGAUAGUGAGUAAGUUCUCAUGGGAUCUGAUGGUUUUCUAAGAACCUUUCCCCUUCGCUCAGCACUUAUUUCUUUCUCUUGCCUCUAGUUGAAGAAGGACAUGUUUGCUUCCCUUUCUGCCGAGAUUAUAAGUUUCCUGAGGCCUCCCCAGCCAAGUGGAACUGUCAAGGAUAAGCCAACUACAGGGGAGAGGAAGUGGAUGGAGCUAUUUUUGUGGC